CAAAAAAGAAGCUGAAAAUCACAGGAAGCAGGUUACCAGAAGCAAUGGAUAAGCUGCUGGCCGGCUCGAUUGAAUUAUUGUGUGGGAGGACUCGUGCCUACCUACCUACCGGAUUACAGGUCAGCUCUUGUGCAAAUCUGCAUGUUUGUUAGUGGAAGACCUUAUUAGUGUGCAGCAGAUACGCCACUGAUUUGCUGAGCUCACGAUCGAGCAGAAGAGUAG
Long non-coding RNA from Panicum virgatum (switchgrass), 222 nucleotides. RefSeq lists it as uncharacterized. The record is from RefSeq and is a predicted model, not a curated record. The transcript is spliced from 3 exons. Lineage: Eukaryota; Viridiplantae; Streptophyta; Magnoliopsida; Poales; Poaceae.